GGGAGUGUUAAAGGAAGCGAGGUGUGUCUCUCUACAGUAUAAUUACGAGUUAUUUCUCUGGGAAGCCAUGCAGACAGAACCCUGACAGGAACUACAUCUCAGUAAGUACACUAUUUCUAAAUAUGCCUUAUUUUGACAAUAUCUAUUUUUUUUAAACAAUGUUUUUUUUUAAAGAAACAUGUAAAACAUGAUUGAUAGAGUUUAACAGAUAGCACUUUGAUUGCUGUGUUACAGUACUUUGAACUAUGGAGACUAAAAUUGCCAAUGCAGGGAAAUAUGUUCUAUGUAUAUCUUUAAUUGUUAAUAAGUAUUUUUUUAAUCUACUUAGGGAUACGUUUACUAAAUGUUUAUUCCAGAUGAAAUAAAAGACCAAAAACAAAACAAAGCUAAAAUGUUUGUAUUCCAUUUGGAAAAGUACAAUUUCUGCUAUAAUGCUAAUUCUUAAGUAAUCAAGAAAGUAGUUUAUUUGACCCGUGUCAGUGCUUAAUUUACCAGCAAAUACUGGGAUAAAUACUUAGUACCUGCGUAAAAUAUCAAUUAAUUCAGUAACUUAGGUGCUUACUGAUUACCUCAGUGCUUUCAAUGCUCCAGCCAGUGGAAAUCCAUUGAAAUACCAUAUUAUAUAUAGUAUCUUGACAUUAAUGUCAAAGCAAUUAUCUUUUAUAAGUACCUGAGAAAAACUGUUUAUAAAGGUAUCUUUGCAGACAGUAUUUACCUGGCAACUACAUGAAUAAAAAGCACUGCAAAAGGCUAAAAAAAACAUGUUGGCCAACACCCCACUGUUACUUUCCCUGGUAAGGAACAUUGGUCUUAGUGUGCAGCCAGCAGCCACAUCUUUCUAGGACACUAUUGUUCCAUAUGUUUGCAGAUAGCAUUUUCCACAACCAGUCAGACUGGUUAGAUGUGACUGAAUGUAGCAAUAUGUUGACAAGGACCUCCUCCAUCUCUAACUCUAGGUUCUAUACUAGUGAAAGCGGGGACAAAAUAUAAUAUUUUAAAUAAAUCAUUAAAACAAGUAUAAAUAUUUUUUCCAUUUCAGGGUUUUGAUCUGAAACAUCGAGAUGUGGGGUCACAACCAAGGAAACCAGCAUCCCUCUGGCUACAACGUGAACCCAAGUGGGUGCGAACCGCCAAUGCCAGGUGGGGGACACCCUGGCGGGUGCACCAUUGGUGCCAUCAUGGCCCCAUCAUGCCCUCCCUACCAGCCCCCCUCCACCUGCUACCCUGUGCCACCAUCUUAUCCAGUACAGGGUCCCCAUGGAGGUCAUGGGCAUGGGCACGAUCAUGGGCACGGACCUCAUGGCCAUGAUCAUGGUCACGGGCACGGACAUCAUGGUCAUGAUCAUGGUCACGGUCACGGGCAUCGUGGAGGUCACGGUCAUGGAGGGCACGGUCAUGGAGGACACGGAGGGCACGGUCACGGAGGGCAUGGUCGCGGAGGGCAUGGUCAUGGGCAUGGUCAUGGUCAUGGGCACGGUCAUGGUCAUGGUCAUGGGCACGGUCAUGGAUGCAGGCACAGGCACAAGCAUGGGCAUUGGCAUGGGGGUUGUCACAAGAAAGGGAAGCAGAGUCAUGGGAGUUCAAGCAGCUCCUGCAGCAGUGACUCCGACUAGAGCCUGCAGUCAGAGGGACAUGACUUAUCCUCUUAUCAGCCGUAAGAGACCUGGAUCUCUCUCCCCAGUGCUUUACUAUAGCCCCAGAACCAAUCCCUAAUCCCCAUACCUAACAUAUGGAUGUUACAAACCCACAUCUCUCCCGCUCAUAUGUCUGAUUUUUUUAAAAGCAUGAUGGUUUCUUUUAUGUAAAAUAAUUAAAGGACACAGAGGGAAACGUAUUUUUUCUUGUUGUAUGCCAAAAUGAUUUAAAAAAAUAAAAUAAAAAAUGUCCAAUUACUGUGUACAUCAUAACUACAACCCACAGUAUACAUUUUUGAUAUGUCAAUUAUUGUGGGCCUGGGGAAUUCUGAUUUGUUUAUGGGUAUUUGGUUAUCCGAGCCAAGCUAUAAUUGUAACCCUGCAUAGUUUCCUCAUAAAGUCAAGCAUUCCUAAACAUUGAUUUGUAGGAACCUAAACUCAAAUGUGGGCGGGUUGCCUGUUUUGCAUGUUAUUUUGACAUGAAUACAUGUCACAUAUCAGUUUGCACACAAUAUUAAAAAAUAAAAAUAUGUCAUUAAGCUAAUAAAGCUGCAUACAAACUUA
Long non-coding RNA from Oncorhynchus tshawytscha (Chinook salmon), 2198 nucleotides. NCBI's taxonomy places the organism in Eukaryota, Metazoa, Chordata, Actinopteri, Salmoniformes, Salmonidae. The record is from Ensembl.